RNAcentral lists this ribosomal RNA (345 nucleotides) under Triticum aestivum (bread wheat). RNAcentral describes it as "partial small subunit ribosomal RNA". The record is from RNAcentral. Lineage: Eukaryota; Viridiplantae; Streptophyta; Magnoliopsida; Poales; Poaceae.
AUGCUCAAGGAAGAGGGGCUCCGCAAAGCUGCCAUUGAGGAGAGAAAAGCACACGCCUCUGAAAACAAAUCGAUGUCAUUGUUGCUUGCCGAAGAGAACAAGAUCAUGUCAAUGAACCGCAAUGACAUGGACGACCUCACCAAAACAUGGCAUGAUAUGGCAAGGAGAGAGAUCUUGAAGAGGAGAAUGGUAGCCUCGGCCGGUCCGUGUUCCAGUUCUGGUGAUGUUUUCUCUGCUCCAUAUGGUGGCAAUGUGGAUGAUUUCGGUGCGGGAGUUGGAACAAGCGACGAAGGUGGAUUCGGUGGCGCCGAUGAACUUCAAUAUGGACUCCAUGGCGCGGAGUGA